AUUGAUGAAAUAACAACUGUCUCUAUUUUAUUUAAUGAAUUUAAAUUUUUAGUAAAAAUUCUGAAAUUUAAUUAUGGGACGAUAAGACCCUAUAGAAUUUUAUUUAAUAUAAUUAUUUAUUUAAAUUAUUUGUGAAUAUAUAAUUAAUUUAAAUUUGAUUGGGAGGAUUGGUAAAUAAAAAUAACUUUAUCUAAAAAUUAAUUUUGAUGAAAAGAUUUUUUUUGACUUAUAAUUUAUGAUUAAAAGAAUAAAUUACCUUAGGGAUAACAGCGUAAUAUCUUUUGAUAGACCACAUUGAUAAAGAUGUUUGCGACCUCGAUGUUG
Molecule: ribosomal RNA, 324 nt
Filed under: Apis cerana (Asiatic honeybee)
Lineage: Eukaryota; Metazoa; Arthropoda; Insecta; Hymenoptera; Apidae
Description: partial 16S large subunit ribosomal RNA
Source: RNAcentral